AAAAAAGGGAACUUGGUUUCAUCUUCUUCCCCUCUCCCACACAGCCGCCGCCCCCUUGCUCAGUCUCGUCCGCCGGCGACUGCGCAGCAAACCCACAAGCAGCGGCGGUGACCAUAGACUCCGGCGAACUGUCUUUGUGCAUCAGACGUAGCGCUCUUGCGCGUUCCGUUGCUCGACGAUCGACGGCGGUGGUAGGAAGCCCACACAUCUAGCUUGCGACGCGGGCACCCACUUCAGACGCCCUUGCUCAGACCUUCGAAACAACGUGUCUUUCCGUUUCGACGGGUUUCGGCGCUGACCCACACCCCGAUUGGUCUCAAAUCAG
This 325-nucleotide unclassified non-coding RNA is filed under the name Hevea brasiliensis (rubber tree). The record is from RNAcentral. Lineage: Eukaryota; Viridiplantae; Streptophyta; Magnoliopsida; Malpighiales; Euphorbiaceae.